This 72-nucleotide transfer RNA is filed under the name Fukomys damarensis (Damara mole-rat). It matches the Rfam family "tRNA". Rfam says of the family: Transfer RNA (tRNA) molecules are approximately 80 nucleotides in length. Their secondary structure includes four short double-helical elements and three loops (D, anti-codon, and T loops). The record is from Rfam by way of RNAcentral. Lineage: Eukaryota; Metazoa; Chordata; Mammalia; Rodentia; Bathyergidae.
UAUGGUGUAAUUUAUUGGUAGAAUAGGUGUUUUGCAGGCAUAAGGUACUGGGUUUGAUUCCUAGCACUUCAG